RNAcentral lists this ribosomal RNA (517 nucleotides) under uncultured bacterium. Its description in RNAcentral is "bacterial SSU rRNA". It matches the Rfam family "Bacterial small subunit ribosomal RNA", at positions 8 to 518 of the family's 1533-position model. The record is from RNAcentral.
AGAGUUUGAUCCUGGCUCAGGAUGAACGCUGGCGGCGUGCCUAAUACAUGCAAGUCGAACGAGAGUAGCAAUACUCGAGUGGCGAACGGGUGAGUAACACGUAGGUAACCUGCCUUACAGUUUUGGGAUACCCGAGGGAAACCUUGGCUAAUACCGAAUAAUUCUUCUGGAGGCAUCUCCGGAAGCUAAAAGGGGCCCUUAAAGCCUCGCUGAAAGAUGGACCUGCGGCGCAUUAGCUAGUUGGUGAGAUAAUAGCCCACCAAGGCGAGGAUGCGUAGCCGACCUAAGAGGGUGAACGGCCACACUGGAACUGAGACACGGUCCAGACUCCUACGGGAGGCAGCAGUAGGGAGUUUUCGGCAAUGGGGGAAACCCUGACCGAGCAACGCCGCGUGAACGAUGAAGGUCUUCGGAUUGUAAAGUUCUGUUAUAAGGGAAGAAUGAUAGCCUGAGGAAAUGCUGGCUAUUUGACGGUACCUUAUUAGAAAGCCACGGCUAACUACGUGCCAGCCGCCGC